Molecule: ribosomal RNA, 253 nt
Filed under: uncultured bacterium
Lineage: Bacteria
Description: partial 16S ribosomal RNA
Rfam family: Bacterial small subunit ribosomal RNA
Source: RNAcentral
UACGUAGGAGGCAAGCGUUGUCCGGAAUUACUGGGCGUAAAGCGCGUGUAGGUGGUGGGACAAGUCUGCUGUGAAAGCGCCUGGCUUAACCGGGCGAGGUCGGCGGAAACUGUCCGACUCGAGGACGGUAGAGGGGGGUGGAAUUCCCGGUGUAGUGGUGAAAUGCGUAGAGAUCGGGAGGAACACCAGUGGCGAAGGCGGCCCCCUGGGCCGGUCCUGACACUGAGACGCGAAGGCGUGGGGAGCGAACGGG